CACACCGUAGCUUACUCGGACCUCUCACUGUGGGUGCCAACUUUGUCAGACUACUUCGAACAGACAAUUAUCGCACAGCAUCACCUACUUUCACCUCGUCACCUCUCGGGGGCCCUGUAUGUGAAGCAGUAUAAAGAAGAGGAAGAGGAAGAAACUACCAACAUGGACGACCACCAUAAGGACUGGUUACGGCUGAAGGGGAAGGUGAAGUUGGUCAACACCUCUGGCCAACUCCUCAAUAAGAUCCAGGCAUGGCUGGAGAAGAAGGAGAAUUGUGCAAAGAAUCUAUGGAAGCUGGUAAAAGAACUGGAGGACCUCAGACAGAUAUGUAACGCUGGGGAAUGCGUAGGGAACACUGUAUCUGUCAUAGGCGCUGCGUGUCUUCUAGGGGGCAUGGUGGCCACCUUUUGCACAGCAGGGGCUGCAGCCCCGCUUCUGGGUGGGCUCGGGGUGGCAUACUUGGGUACAGGCACCACAAUCAGCUUGACCACAAAGCUAAUCGAACAUUUUGUGUCCGGCAGCAGUAUGGAAGAUGCAAAGAAGGCGGCAAAGGAGAGCGAAAUAAUUGAAGAGGAAAUAUUGGAACUGAUAGAAAAGCUAAAGAUGGAGAGAGUGAACCCUAUGCAAGAUGCAAGCGAGUACAUUGCAAUGUGUAUUUUUGAAGCCAUGUCGGGGAUGGGUCACAAAGGGCGGCUCCUGCAUGGUUUUAUUAAAGUUGGUGAUACUCUAAUGGCACUAUGUAGUUUUUUCGUAAUUUUGAGCCUUAAAAAACGAGGAAAAAUAUCAACAAUGCUGGUGACAACGAUAAUACAGGAACUUGCAGUCGCCGGAGGAAAGUUUGCAGCUAAAGGAUUAUGUAUGGCAGUGGCAGGAGGGAUUGGAAUGGUAUUCGCACUUCCGGAGUCGAUUGACAGCUGGAAGGAGCUUGUCACAAAAAAGCAUGUGACUGAAGCCAGCCAAUCACUGAAGAACACAGCUGAAAACAUUGAUCAGUUCUGCAAGGACCUGAGGAACAAUCUUAAAAGGAUUCAGGAGGACAUUGAACAGAUGAACCAGCAAAUGAACCAGCAGACGACCAACAAUAAAGGAAACCAGAGCAAUCAGAACCAGCAGACCAACAGCCAUCAAGGAGACCAGAGAAAUCAGAACCAGCAGACCAAUAGCAAACCAGGGGAUGAUGAUGAGGAGGACAAGCAGCAGAACAACAGGGGGCAUUUGGACAUCCAGUUUACGGACAGCGACGAGGAGAGUGACAGCGACGAGGAGAGUGACAGCGAUGAGGAGAGCGACAGUGACGAGGAAGGCUAUUUGCAGAUGGGACUGUUCAAUAUCAGGUCCAUGGUCCAAAAGGCUGAUAUGGUAUCGGAAGUCAUCCAAACAAACAUGCUCGAUGUCUUUCUCACCACGGAAACCUGGUUAAGGCCUUUAAAUUUCGAGACAGUGCUCCAGAACGCUUGUCCCCCUAACUUUGAAUUCCACCAUCAGGCCAGACCAAAGGGGCCUGAUGGUAAAGAAAGAAGAGGCGGCGGCGUGGCCAUCCAACACAGGGAUGUGUACAUCGGCCAAGAGAUAAGGGUUCCAUUCGAUACAGCGUUUGAGUAUGUGGCCGUGGUCCUGGAAAACGACCAGUGGGAGGUUCCCGUCCUCUUGGUCAACGUGUACUUUCCUCCGGGAUACAACCGGGUACAAUUUCAGCGGUUUGUAUAUGACUUCAGCAAGCUGCUGGACAAUUUAGAGGAGAGGGGGUACGACCACGUCAUCUUCACAGGUGAUUUCAAUAUCCACAUGGACGAAGGCAUGCAGUCCUCUGCCAUAGAGUUUCAUUGGCUGUUAAAUAAUAGGGGUCUUGAGCUACGUACCAACGGGCCAACACGUUAUCCAGGGAGACACACACUGGACCUGGUCUUCACCCGGAAUGUGGAUAUUCGCAAUUUAUCCUAUGAAUACACUCCCGUUGAGGAACGUGUCUCGGAUCAUGUGAUUAUUUUAUUCCAAGCCACUCCGAUAUCAAUAGACAAAAAAAAAAAAAAAAAAGAGAAAAAGAGGAAAUUCAUACGAAAAAAAUAA
Molecule: long non-coding RNA, 2067 nt
Organism: Gadus morhua (Atlantic cod)
Lineage: Eukaryota; Metazoa; Chordata; Actinopteri; Gadiformes; Gadidae
Source: Ensembl